AUUUGGUGCCAUUUACAAUUAAGAGAUACAGAUAGUUUCUCUCUUUACUCUUAAAGUUAACAAAUAUGUUUUUAUAUUAAUCUAAAAAAUAAACAUUUAGUCUGAUUUGAUGUUACAAUUAAAAAAGUGUUUUUAUCUGAAGAGUUUGUAAAUAUCUGUAUAACUGUAUAUUUGAUGAUUGUCAGCACAAAGAGGGAGAGAGAGGAACAGAGAUGAACAAGAGCAGUUUGUUCCUUCAACCCUACCAAACUUGUGUGUGUGGACAGCAAAGGAAGAAUUUCAUCGCACAGAGAAAUUUCUUCUGUACAUGUCACACAGUGGAAAUUUGUAUUUAUCUUGUAUAUUGUUUUUGUUCUGAUUUUGGUGUUUGUUUGUGGGUGUCGUUUUGUUUGCAUGGUUUUUAGUGUUUUAUGUGACAUGGUUUUUAUCCACUGUGGACUGGCUGCACAUGGGACAAAUUAGCUGAUAGGGACCACCUGCUGAGGCAGGGGUGUGUCCAGAGGUGGCCUAUCAGCUGUGUAAAGACCUUUUAAAAACAGGCUAGCUGAGCACUGAAGAGAGAGGCCCCAGACUGGAAGGUUAAUGCGAGAUGGCCGGGUGUGAUGCGGCGACCCAGUCCUGACCUCAUGGAACGGCAACAGUAAGAGACGACGCGUGUGAUUGGCAGCAGGGCAGAGGUUCUGGCCCCUAUUUGUUAUGUUACAGGACACCGACGCAAGGGGAGCUGUGGCGGUGGUCGCAUGAUGGAUUCGGGUGCAGAACGCAAGCCGGGCUGGGAAGUGAUGGGCCAGCGGAAGGACAAGAAGAUGGGAGGCUCUUUCUUGUCUGCCGAAGACGAGGCUGGCGGGGACUCUGCUCUAAAGAAGGAAUUCCUGGCCUGCUGAUGGACCCAUAAUGAACAUGUGGCAUAAUUAUAGCAGGGGGGGUUUUAGUGAAUGUAGAAAAUGGUAGUUUUACGGGUUUUAGAAUUGUUUUUAGUAGAGAGCAAACAUUUUAUUACGUACAUUUUAAGGGUGUUUUUAUUUGUGCUCCCUGGCCCAGUAAUAAACUGUUCCUGAUCAGACCUGC
This is a long non-coding RNA of Astatotilapia calliptera (eastern happy), 1068 nucleotides long. Lineage: Eukaryota; Metazoa; Chordata; Actinopteri; Cichliformes; Cichlidae. The record is from Ensembl.